This 561-nucleotide long non-coding RNA is filed under the name Fukomys damarensis (Damara mole-rat). RNAcentral describes it as "lncRNA (ENSFDAG00000024748.1)". The record is from RNAcentral. Lineage: Eukaryota; Metazoa; Chordata; Mammalia; Rodentia; Bathyergidae.
CAACAGAGAGGAUCUACCCUGAUUACAUAGGAAAGGAAACUUAUAAACCCUUAAAAAGCAGGAAUCUAGCUCAUGUGUGAGGUAGAUGAAACAAGAGAUGCAGUGUCCCUUGCAGACUCUGAAAAGUCACAUUGUUGGCAAUCAAAAAGUUUUCAUUGAACGGGCAUUUGUGUAGUCGUUCUAAGAUAUUUUUUAAGUUUAUGCCCCAACUUUAUUCUAUGAAUUGCAUUCACAUCUUCUUAACUCUAAGGAAUAGUGCAGAGCCCUAUAAUAAAUAUUUGUGCUCUGAAAAUAAACUUUCACCAUGAGAAAUUCCUUUACUUGCAGAGCAAAGAUCCUAUAUAUGUAUUCAGCUAAACAAAGACUUGAGCCAUUGCAGCCACUGUGUGCUUCUUAAGGAAUGCAUUUUGAGGACGAGUAUAUGGCAGCUUCGUGGGAGCCCGUCCUGUCCUUAACAGGGAUGAAAAGUGGAGAAAGUACUAACUGCCAGAAAGGCAGAGAGGAAGAAACGUGGAACAUGAAAUAGAUGUGUUACUAUGUAGCAUUUACAUUACAGCAGCA